RNAcentral lists this ribosomal RNA (522 nucleotides) under Enterococcus durans. RNAcentral describes it as "bacterial SSU rRNA". It matches the Rfam family "Bacterial small subunit ribosomal RNA", at positions 41 to 534 of the family's 1533-position model. Lineage: Bacteria; Bacillati; Bacillota; Bacilli; Lactobacillales; Enterococcaceae. The record is from RNAcentral.
GGCGUGCCUAAUACAUGCAAGUCGUACGCUUCUUUUUCCACCGGAGCUUGCUCCACCGGAAAAAGAAGAGUGGCGAACGGGUGAGUAACACGUGGGUAACCUGCCCAUCAGAAGGGGAUAACACUUGGAAACAGGUGCUAAUACCGUAUAACAAUCGAAACCGCAUGGUUUUGAUUUGAAAGGCGCUUUCGGGUGUCGCUGAUGGAUGGACCCGCGGUGCAUUAGCUAGUUGGUGAGGUAACGGCUCACCAAGGCCACGAUGCAUAGCCGACCUGAGAGGGUGAUCGGCCACAUUGGGACUGAGACACGGCCCAAACUCCUACGGGAGGCAGCAGUAGGGAAUCUUCGGCAAUGGACGAAAGUCUGACCGAGCAACGCCGCGUGAGUGAAGAAGGUUUUCGGAUCGUAAAACUCUGUUGUUAGAGAAGAACAAGGAUGAGAGUAACUGUUCAUCCCUUGACGGUAUCUAACCAGAAAGCCACGGCUAACUACGUGCCAGCAGCCGCGGUAAUACGUAGGUGG